GCUUGGAGCAACUUCAAUUGCUCGACCGCGUGGAAGAUUACCUGAUACAGAAACGGGUUGUAUAGCUUAAAGCUUCUUCAUCAAGAAUCCGAUACGCAUUUUGAAAUAUCUUAUUAAGGCACGUAGGUGUAAAGGUCGCUACAAGCAAAAUGGAGAAGUCGGCUACGUGUGACAACAAAUUAACGACGUAACGCGUACGUGUGAAAUAUUUUCGGGCUAUUACACGAAAUGAGAAGCAUCGUGAUUACGCGCCUGCUUAAUGUUCCGAGUCUCUCAUUAAAUUAAGUAGAGUGACUCACCUGCAUGGCGGCGGGGAGAUACGAAUUCGAGUAAAUUGGUGUUGAAAAGGCCGGCGGCUUCCUAACGAUUCCGGCGAUGGCCUGGAGCAGUGAGGAAUUUUAAUUAACAUUUCCGUCAAAGCAUGCAAAUAUAUCUACGUAGCUCUCGGAGCCGUUAGACGCCGUUAUGGCUGUAGCAUGUAGUGUUCAUGUGGAAAUAUUUCAUAUCGAAAGUAGAUCAAGGUAGAGUAUUAAUAAUAUGAUACGUGAAACUUAAGUGAGAGCAAAAUUUUCGAAAGAUGCAAAAUUAAUAUUACAAAUUGCAGUGAAGAGAAAAUGGAAUCGUAAAUACAUUUUUCAGACAAUAUAUUGAUCUUUGCUUAAAACAUUUGCUCAAUUCCGAUUCAAAUAAUGUUUUUAGUUUAUUUACGUGAUAUGAUAAGCCACAGAAAUAGCGAUUUUCAUGUAAUCUAAUAUGCAAUGACUGAAUAAUAAAAGAGUUCACUGAUAAUAUAUUAAACAU
This is a long non-coding RNA of Ooceraea biroi (clonal raider ant), 801 nucleotides long. RefSeq lists it as uncharacterized. The record is from RefSeq and is a predicted model, not a curated record. Lineage: Eukaryota; Metazoa; Arthropoda; Insecta; Hymenoptera; Formicidae.